RNAcentral lists this ribosomal RNA (474 nucleotides) under Orthonecroscia cf. fuscoannulata SB0429. Its description in RNAcentral is "partial large subunit ribosomal RNA". The stretch from base 338 to 474 matches the Rfam family "Bacterial large subunit ribosomal RNA", at positions 2473 to 2610 of the family's 2925-position model. Lineage: Eukaryota; Metazoa; Arthropoda; Insecta; Phasmatodea; Lonchodidae. The record is from RNAcentral.
UAAUUUAAUGGCCGCGGUAUUUUGACCGUGCAAAGGUAGCAUAAUCAUUAGUUUAUUAAUUGUGAACUUGUAUGAAUGGUUUUACGAAAUAUUUACUGUCUCUUAUUUAAUUUUAAAAUUUAAAUUUUAAGUUAAAAUGCUUAAAUAUAUUUAUAGGACGAGAAGACCCUAUAGAUCUUUAUUAUUUAUUUAAUUUUUUUAUUUUGAUUAUAUUUUAUUUAUUUUUUAUAUUUUUUUAUUGGGGUGAUAUAGGGAAAAAUAUAACUCUUUAUUUUACUUUACAUUUUUAAUGUAUUUUUGACCUUUUUUUAUUGUUAUAAGAUUAAGAUACCUUAGGGAUAACAGCGUAAUUUUAAUUGAGAGUUCAUAUCGACAUUAUAGAUUGCGACCUCGAUGUUGGAUUAAGAUUAUAAUUAGGUGUAGAUGCUUAAAUAUUAAGUCUGUUCGACUUUUAAAUUCUUACAUGAUCUGAGU